UGGCGACCAUAGCAAGAGUGAACCACCUGAUCCCUUCCCGAACUCAGAAGUGAAACCUCUUAGCGCUGAUGGUAGUGUGGGGUCUCCCAUGUGAGAGUAAGUCAUCGCCAGCUC
RNAcentral lists this ribosomal RNA (114 nucleotides) under Acinetobacter variabilis. The record is from RNAcentral. Lineage: Bacteria; Pseudomonadati; Pseudomonadota; Gammaproteobacteria; Moraxellales; Moraxellaceae. RNAcentral also lists the same sequence under 1 other name.